This 383-nucleotide ribosomal RNA is filed under the name Vibrio parahaemolyticus. RNAcentral's name for it is "bacterial SSU rRNA". It matches the Rfam family "Bacterial small subunit ribosomal RNA", at positions 69 to 452 of the family's 1533-position model. The record is from RNAcentral. Lineage: Bacteria; Pseudomonadati; Pseudomonadota; Gammaproteobacteria; Vibrionales; Vibrionaceae.
GAACCUGCGGGGAACGAUAACGGCGUCGAGCGGCGGACGGGUGAGUAAUGCCUAGGAAAUUGCCCUGAUGUGGGGGAUAACCAUUGGAAACGAUGGCUAAUACCGCAUGAUGCCUACGGGCCAAAGAGGGGGACCUUCGGGCCUCUCGCGUCAGGAUAUGCCUAGGUGGGAUUAGCUAGUUGGUGAGGUAAGGGCUCACCAAGGCGACGAUCCCUAGCUGGUCUGAGAGGAUGAUCAGCCACACUGGAACUGAGACACGGUCCAGACUCCUACGGGAGGCAGCAGUGGGGAAUAUUGCACAAUGGGCGCAAGCCUGAUGCAGCCAUGCCGCGUGUGUGAAGAAGGCCUUCGGGUUGUAAAGCACUUUCAGUCGUGAGGAAGGU